Molecule: ribosomal RNA, 210 nt
Filed under: Chaetodon semilarvatus (bluecheek butterflyfish)
Lineage: Eukaryota; Metazoa; Chordata; Actinopteri; Chaetodontiformes; Chaetodontidae
Description: partial 28S ribosomal RNA
Source: RNAcentral
GCGCCGCGGAUCUUCGGUUGGCCCCGGAUAACCGGCCUCGUCGGCGAGCAGAGCCGCACGUGACAGGGCUGGGGCGCGGCCGGACGAUGGUCGCCCCUCUCCUAUCUCGCACCGCAUGUUUGUGGAGAACCUGGUGCUGAAUCACUUGCAGACGACCUGAUUCUGGGUCAGGGUUUCGUACGUAGCAGAGCAGCUCCCUCGCUGCGAUCU